Oryza rufipogon (brownbeard rice) is the source of this 210-nucleotide microRNA precursor. It matches the Rfam family "MIR812 microRNA precursor family". The record is from Rfam. Lineage: Eukaryota; Viridiplantae; Streptophyta; Magnoliopsida; Poales; Poaceae.
AAUAAGUGCAGUUUUGCACUAUUCACGUUCAACGUUUGACCGUCCGUCUUAUUUAAAAAUUUUUUAUGAUUAGUAUUUUUAUUGCUAUUAGAUGAUAAAACAUGAAUAGUACUUUAUGUGUGACUAAAUGUUUUUAAUUUUUUCACAAAUUUUUCAAAUAAGACGGACGGGUCAAACGUUAAACGUGAAUAGUGCAAAACUGCACUUAUU